CCAGGAAGUUGUAGAGCGUGGUGUCGCGCAGGUCGUUGGUCACCCGGCUGUUGUGGAUGGCGUACAGGCGCUCCGAGUAGCCCUGCGGGAAGUAGAGCGCUGUGGAGGCGGAAUGGAUCACGGAUCACAGUGGAUUUGCCCUCCUUCUGCCUGCCACGGGCAUGGUCGCAUAUAAGGCGUGAGCGAAGAGAGGAGAGGCCAGGCACAAGUUGAGGUGUCCCCAUUCCGGUGCAUCCCCUGCCCCCGGCGAAAGGCAAAACCCCAGCUUCGGCUCAGCCAGAUUGAAGCAGUCGCUCGGAAAGGGCAGAGCUGGAGGUGGAGGUGGAGGGAGAGCAGGUACAAAGUCGUUAGCACUUUGCCUGGUGUGAAGUUACCCAAGUCAACGAGGGCCAGCCCAGUCGGCCAACUCCAUCCCCAUCUCCGGCUUCGGCCAGCCUUGUUACACGGCAGGCCGGACAGCUGGACAGCAGGACAGCCAGAAGCCAGACGUUUAACACGGCCAACAAGUGAACGGACAAAAGAGCGGACGCUGGUUCAGUGCUGUCCCUUGGGCUUCUUUCUCCCCAACUGAGUUCGGUCAGCCUGUGACACCUGACCUAGAGGGUGCUGGCCCAUUCGUACUUCAGCAGACUGGCACAACCCAUUAAUCCUGUCUGCUACUCCUACCGAUGAUAACGAUCACCAAUUGAGUGGCAGCAGAGGUGGGAGGAAGAAGAGAAGGAGGAGGAGCAGCAUGAGGAGAAGGUGGAGAGCCAGACAACAGGCGGAUAACAACGCCUGUCUCCAAGUGGGCUCAAGUGCCGCAGGAG
Long non-coding RNA from Drosophila biarmipes, 809 nucleotides. RefSeq lists it as uncharacterized. Lineage: Eukaryota; Metazoa; Arthropoda; Insecta; Diptera; Drosophilidae. The record is from RefSeq and is a predicted model, not a curated record. The transcript has 3 exons.